Molecule: non-coding RNA, 28 nt
Filed under: Rattus norvegicus (Norway rat)
Lineage: Eukaryota; Metazoa; Chordata; Mammalia; Rodentia; Muridae
Source: RNAcentral
GUAGGUGCCGUUGUAUUUGGAGCAUAGU